This is a long non-coding RNA of Neofelis nebulosa (Clouded leopard), 353 nucleotides long. RefSeq lists it as uncharacterized. The record is from RefSeq and is a predicted model, not a curated record. Lineage: Eukaryota; Metazoa; Chordata; Mammalia; Carnivora; Felidae. The transcript is spliced from 3 exons.
GUAAUCUGGUGAGCUUCUUAACUUCUCCGUUAGUUUUCACAUUGUAAAAGAGGAACAGGCAUAGAACCUAUCUCUUGCUUGAAACAGUAUUGCACAAGCCUGUCGCUUGUGGAGCUGUGUUUCUAACCUGGUCGAGGCAAGCACAAUCAAGGCAAUGCUGUGGACGCGAAAACAUGGAAGCUGGUGAUAUCUGGGACUGGCAUCUCCAGGAGUGAUACAGGGAUUGGACGUAUUCUACGCAACACGAGAAUAAUGGCUGCAAUUAUUACUGUAUCGGGCACCCCUUCAGACGUACAUUGCUUUUGUACAUUGCUUUACAAACUACAAAGUAGUAAAUUCUUUGGUGUGAGAUA